Molecule: ribosomal RNA, 421 nt
Filed under: uncultured bacterium
Lineage: Bacteria
Description: partial 16S ribosomal RNA
Rfam family: Bacterial small subunit ribosomal RNA
Source: RNAcentral
AAUAUUGGACAAUGGGGGCAACCCUGAUGCAGCCAUGCCGCGUGUGUGAAGAAGGUCUUCGGAUUGUAAAGCACUUUAAGUUGGGAGGAAGGGCUUGAGGUUAAUACCCUGAAGUUUUGACGUUACCAACAGAAUUGGCACCGGCUAACUCUGUGCGAGCAGCCGCGAAAAUACAGAGGGUGCAAGCGUUAAUAGGAAUUACUGGGCGUAAAGUGCGCGUAGGUGGUUCAGUAAGAUGGGUGUGAAAUCCCCGGGCUUAACCUGGGAACUGCUUUCAUAACUGCUGAGCUAGAGUACGGUAGAGGGUAGUGGAAUUUCCUGUGUAGCGGUGAAAUGCGUAGAUAUAGGAAGGAACACCAGUGGCGAAGGCGACUACCUGGACUGAUACUGACACUGAGGUGCGAAAGCGUGGGGAGCAAAC